GUCCCUAUGGGUCUCUAUAGGGUCUCUAUGGGUCUCCAUGGGUCCCAGUGGCUUUUUAAGGGAUCUAUGGGUCUCUAUGGGUCCCUCUGGCUCCCUAUGGUUCUCUAUGGGUCCCUAUGGGUCCCUGUGGGUCCCUAUGGGUCUCUAUGGGUCUCUAUGGAGUCCCUAUGGGUCUCUGUGGGUCCCUAUGGGUCUCUAUGGGUCCCUAUGAGUCCCUAUGUGUUCCUGUGGGUCCCUAUGGGUCCCCAUGCAUCUCUAUGAUCUCCGUGCAUCUCUAUGGUCUCCCCGCGUCUCUAUGGUCGUGGCGGCGCCCCUCAGGCCACGUGGUUCGCGCUGCUCCCCCUGCUGGCCGUUUCCGUUCCCCACGCGCUGCUCCCGGCUCUGCUGGCCGCUCUUUGGGCUGCGGCCACGUUGGGGGCGGCGGUGCUGAGAGCCGCACCGAGGCUGCCGCACGGAGACUGCGUGGAGGCGCUGCGUUCCGGCAGCGGAGCGGUGGUGGCCACCGUGGUGGCUUUGGUGGCCAUCGUGUCGUCCCGCAGCGUCUUGGCCGCCAUCACCUUCAGCCUAGCUUUGGGUCUGGCUCUGCUUUACGCCUACGACGCCUUCGGAACCAUUCGGACCCGACUGGGGCAGCCCCACGACCCACAAGUGAACGGGACCUGAGCGACAUCCGGACCCCCGACUCUGCCCCAUAGAAUCCCUGCCUUCUGCCCCAUAGAUUUCUGCCCCAUAGAUCUGUGCGCCCCAUAGAUCCGCCCCAUAGAUUCUGCCCCAUAGAUUCGCCCCAUAGAUUUCUGUCCUAUAGAUUCACCCCAUAGAUUCUGCCCCAUAGAUCUGUGCAUCCCAUAGAUCCGCCCCAUAGAUUCUGCCCCAUAGAUUUCUGCCCCAUAGAUCCGCCCCAUAGAUUCUGCCCCAUAGAUUUGCCCCAUAGAUUCUGCCCCAUAGAUUCUGCCCCAUAGAUCUCUGCCCCAUAGAUCUGUGUGCCCCAUAGAUUCCGCCCCAUAGAUUCCACCCCAUAGAUCUCUGCCCCAUAGAUCUCUGCCCCAUAGAUUCCACCCCAUAGAUUCUGCCCCAUAGAUCCGCCCCAUAGAUCUGUGCGCCCCAUAGAUUCUGCCCCAUAGAUCCGCCCCAUAGAUUUGUGUGCCCCAUAGAUUCACCCCAUAGAU
RNAcentral lists this long non-coding RNA (1166 nucleotides) under Chrysolophus pictus (golden pheasant). RNAcentral describes it as "lncRNA (ENSCPIG00010012768.1)". The record is from RNAcentral. Lineage: Eukaryota; Metazoa; Chordata; Aves; Galliformes; Phasianidae.